AAAUGAAUAGACGGGGACCCGCACAAGCGGUGGAGCAUGUGGUUUAAUUCGACGCAACGCGAAGAACCUUACCAGGGCUUGACAUCCCCCGCGAUCCUAGGAAACUAGGAGUUCGGGCCUUCGGGUCCGACGGGGAGACAGGUGGUGCAUGGUUGUCGUCAGCUCGUGUCGUGAGAUGUUGGGUUAAGUCCCGCAACGAGCGCAACCCCUACUUUUAGUUGCCAACAGGUAAAGCUGGGAACUCUAGAAGAACUGCCGGUGACAAACCGGAGGAAGGUGGGGACGACGUCAAAUCAUCAUGCCCUUUAUGUCCUGGGCUACACACGUGCUACAAUGGUCGGUACAAAGGGAAGCAAGAGAGCGAUCUGGAGCAAAUCCCAUAAAGCCGGUCUCAGUUCGGAUUGCAGGCUGCAACCCGCCUGCAUGAAGUCGGAAUCGCUAGUAAUCGCGAGUCAGCAUAUCGCGGUGAAUACGUUCCCGGGUCUUGUACACACCGCCCGU
RNAcentral lists this ribosomal RNA (501 nucleotides) under uncultured bacterium. RNAcentral's name for it is "bacterial SSU rRNA". It matches the Rfam family "Bacterial small subunit ribosomal RNA", at positions 903 to 1397 of the family's 1533-position model. The record is from RNAcentral.